AGAGUUUGAUCCUGGCUCAGAACGUACGCUGGCGGCACGCUUAACACAUGCAAGUCGAACGAAGUAGCAAUACUUAGUGGCAGACGGGUGAGUAUAAUGUGGGAAUCUGCCUUUUGGUUUAGAAUAACUCGGGGAAACUUGAGCUAAUACUGGAUAAGCCCUUACGGGGAAAGCUUUAUGCGCCAAGAGAUGAGCCCGCACUUGAUUAGCUUGUUGGUGAGGUAAAAGCUCACCAAGGCAACGAUCAAUAGCUGUUCUUAGAGGAAGACCAGCCACAUUGGGACUGAGACACGGCCCAGACUCCUACGGGAGGCAGCAGUGGGGAAUCUUGCACAAUGGGGGAAACCCUGAUGCAGCGAUGCCGCGUGAGUGAAGAAGGCCUUUGGGUUGUAAAGCUCUUUCGUCGGGGAAGAAAAUGACUGUACCCGAAUAAGAAGGUCCGGCUAACUUCGUGCCAGCAGCCGCGGUAAUACGAAGGGACCUAGCGUAGUUCGGAAUUACUGGGCUUAAAGAGCUCGUAGGUGGUUAAGAAAGUUGGUGGUGAAAUCCCAAGGCUUAACCUUGGAACUGCCACCAAAACUUUUUGACUAGAGUAUGAUAGAGGUAAGUGG
This 611-nucleotide ribosomal RNA is filed under the name uncultured Pelagibacterales bacterium. RNAcentral's name for it is "bacterial SSU rRNA". It matches the Rfam family "Bacterial small subunit ribosomal RNA", at positions 8 to 664 of the family's 1533-position model. The record is from RNAcentral. Lineage: Bacteria; Pseudomonadati; Pseudomonadota; Alphaproteobacteria; Candidatus Pelagibacterales.